CUACAUGGCAAGGAACUGAGGUGGGAGGCCUCUGGUUAAUAGCUGGUGAGAGACUGAGCACCUCAGUCCAACAGCUAGCUCAUGAGGAAUGGAAUCUUGGAACAACCAGAUCUGGGGCUGAGGAACCUGUUGUUGCUUGCAGUGAUGCCCCGUCACUUCCUCAAUGACUCAGCAGUACUGCACAGCAUGAGAAAAGUUGAAGAAAUUCAAGAGUUCUCAAAUACUCCUGAUCUCCCCUAUAAAUAGCAUCUUAC
Vicugna pacos (alpaca) is the source of this 254-nucleotide non-coding RNA. The record is from RefSeq and is a predicted model, not a curated record. Lineage: Eukaryota; Metazoa; Chordata; Mammalia; Artiodactyla; Camelidae.